CGGGUGCACUGAUCCAGCCGGGCCUUUCCCUCUGUGGAACCCCAUGGCCUUCACUGGCUGUGGUGGGGAAACAGGACUUUUACUUUGAAAAAAUUAGAGUGCUCCAGGCAGGCCUAUGCUCGAAUACAUUAGCAUGGAAUAAUAGAAUAGGACGGGUGGUUCUAUUUUGUUGGUUUCUAGGACCGCCGUAAUGAUUAAUAGGGACAGUCGGGGGCAUCAGUAUUCAAUUGUCAGAGGUGAAAUUCUUGGAUCUAUUGAAGACUAACUACUGCGAAAGCAUUUGCCAAGGAUGUUUUCAUUGAUAAGGAACGAAAGUUAGGGGAUCGAAGACGAUCAGAUACCGUCGUAGUCUUAACUAUAAACUAUGCCGACUAGGGAUCGGACGAUGUUAUUCUUUGACGCGUUCGGCACCUUUCGAGAAAUCAAAGUGCUUGGGCUCCAGGGGGAGUAUGGUCGCAAGGCUGAAACUUAAAGAAAUUGACGGAAGGGCACCACCAGGGGUGGAACCUGCGGCUUAAUUUGACUCAACACGGGGAAACUCACCAGGUCCAGACACAGUGAGGAUUGACAGAUUGAGAGCUCUUUCUUGAUUCUGUGGGUGGUGGUGCAUGGCCGUUCUUAGUUGGUGGAGUGAUUUGUCUGCUUAAUUGCGAUAACGAACGAGACCUUAACCUGCUAAAUAGCCCGUACUGCUUUGGCAGUUCGCCGGCUUCUUAGAGGGACUAUCGG
This 729-nucleotide ribosomal RNA is filed under the name uncultured eukaryote. Its description in RNAcentral is "SSU rRNA". It matches the Rfam family "Eukaryotic small subunit ribosomal RNA", at positions 670 to 1426 of the family's 1831-position model. The record is from RNAcentral.